CCGGUGUGGCCGUUGCUGCGCACUCGCUUCGGUUCUUUUUAAUGGGAGUGAAGAGAAGAGGAAGCUUGUGUAGCCAUAUGGAUGCAGUCACUGAUAGAUGGAUGAAGAUCAGACGAACGAAACAUUUAUCCGACACAUACGCACACUAUGUGUAAAUAAAAACCACUAAAACCAUUACGUUUGAACCAAAAUGUUGAAGUUCUGAAACAGUUGGCAAAAGAAUCAGACGACAGAAAGGGAGCCAAGGUUAAGUACUUCAGGGCGAGCUGACACUUGCGAGCCAGACGCCCCGUGCUGAAGCUCUCGGAUCACCACGUCGCUGCCCUCGCCGCCGAUCCCUGGUGCGCCAAGCCUCGUUUGCCCCAUUGACGAGCACAUCUCCGGACGUUCUCGCUGUCGCAUCACCUGCCGACACCCUUCUGUUCUCUACUGCAACUUGGGUCGUGUCCGCCGCCUCGUCCGCUGGUGACUGCCGCCUGACGUCCUCGCCGCAUCUCGCCGCAUCUCGCCUCACUCACCACACCUGAUGCCCUGUGCUGGUGACCCUGGCAAGAAUGAUCCUGUCUUGCCUGUCGAAACUCGUGACGCCAUCAACAUGGUGCUCUUCCUCUCCCGAGAUGACGAAUCCUUCCUGCCAAUGAUGUGAUCUUGAUUCUUCGAAGACCUCGUUCUCAAAAUUCUCUGCUCAGUCUUUGUUCUCCUCACCAACAAGCGAUACAGUGACCCGUUCUCGUGAUGUCUCUCACCUCUUACAGUAAUUCCACUGUCCUCAGCCGACUCCAACAGGUCUACAGCCUUGACAAUGACAAAGUGACCUUAGAACACACUAAUUCCACCCUUAUUGUUUGCAAAUAAUUCCCAUGUUGUCAUUUUUAUGUCUUUGUGUAAACACCAUAAUUCUCUUCUUACACACAACUGUAUAUAAGGUACCCUUGUUCCUUCAUCACGAAACCACCAUGUGACCAUAUGUAUCAGAAUUUGUUUUCAUUCAAAUUCUUUCAUGUUUUCUAUUAUGAAAUGUUUCAAAACGAUGUUUGUUCAUGGAAAUUUCUGAGCAGUUAAGACAGACUGCUCGCAGACCGGAGGCAGGCAGGACGCCUCGCCUUACCUGGGCGUCCCUGCCUUGCCCGUCCUCCGUAUGCCAACUACCAUACCUGUGUUAAUAAAACCAUUGAAGCAU
This is a long non-coding RNA of Penaeus monodon (black tiger shrimp), 1180 nucleotides long. RefSeq lists it as uncharacterized. Lineage: Eukaryota; Metazoa; Arthropoda; Malacostraca; Decapoda; Penaeidae. The transcript has 2 exons. The record is from RefSeq and is a predicted model, not a curated record.